Lutra lutra (Eurasian river otter) is the source of this 1325-nucleotide long non-coding RNA. RefSeq lists it as uncharacterized. NCBI's taxonomy places the organism in Eukaryota, Metazoa, Chordata, Mammalia, Carnivora, Mustelidae. The transcript is spliced from 3 exons. The record is from RefSeq and is a predicted model, not a curated record.
GGGAAACUUCUGAGAAAGCUCAUUGCAGUAGGGAGCGUGGAGGGAGACACGAACCCGGAGGGAGCUGAAGCACGUCGGCUCUAGGGGCAAGCGUCGCCCCGCCCCGCCCCGGAAACAGUGGAAAUCACCCCGGAAGAGCAACUUAGUCCGCCCCGGAAUUUGAGCCCCAUCCACCAUGGAGACGAGUCGUUCGGGGGCGGGCUCCCGGAGGCUUGAGAGGACCCGGCCACGUGGGUCACGUGACGCCCUUCUCCGGGCCUCUGCCCCGUCGCUGUUUCUAAGGCUCCGGGCUUGAAAAGCUGAACUUUCUCUCCGACGUCCUAGUCCUGCGUCGUCACAGCAACCCUCUGAGAGAGGAAGCACAAGGAAUUGAUAAACUGUUUUUUCUACAAAAGAGGAAACAGAGGCCUGAGCCUUGGACAGGAAUCAAAGUCCGCGCUCAUCUAGAGAUCGGAGGUCUAAAUAAGGGUUCACGGCUCUUCUCGCCUCCGCGGGCCUCAGCCUGGCCCGUCCACAUCUCAGCUUAACGGCCGUGCUUCCGCCAUCAGUCUAGGUUGUGACGCUGCCCCAGUGCGGGAGCCGCGUAUCCCCUCGUCUUAGGCGGGCAAACAAGCCCAAAGAGGUAAUGAACUCUGGGUGAAGAGUUGGCUAUGUCUGGAAGGACAUGGCGCCCUGAAAGGAAAAGAAUUAGUCCGUCAGAUUCGGAACUCUUGCGUUAUUUCUUCGUUGGGCACUGAAGAACGAAGUAAUAUGAGCAAUGAAAACUUUCAUCAGGAAAUAAUUGGGACUCCCAGAUUUGUAUCUCCAUCCCAGAACUCUCUUGUGAACUACAGACUUUUACAUCCAGCAGCCGGCUAGACUUCUGUACUUGGCAGUUCCACAGACACUUCUCACUCAGCUUAUCAAAAAUUGAACUUGUAAACCGUGGACUUUGGGUGAUAAUGAUGUGUCUCAAGCUGCCACUGCCUUUCUCUGUUGAAAACCUCCCGAGUCCCCUCAGGGCUGCUGCUGACCCAGGAGCAAAGAAUGUGCUCUUCGCUCUCAAAGCUUUCUGCAGCCUGGGUCAUCUGGUUUUUACAGAUAAUGGAGUGCGUUGUUUGGUUAUAUAAACUGUCAAUUUUAUUAUGAAGGAUCUUUGUUCAGAAAGAUCUAGUUUUUUAAUCUGCAAAUAAAAAGUACUAAAGGGAAAUGCAUUAACAUAUUGACUGGUUAUUUCUGAGUGGUGGGGAUGUGACUAAUUUUUCUUACUGUCUGUUUACUAUAAUAAGCAUAUAUAAAUUUAUCAAUAAAGAAAAACUCUAUUUAAAAAGGCUAAUAAUGGGGCA